UACGUAGGGUGCGAGCGUUAAUCGGAAUUACUGGGCGUAAAGCGUGCGCAGGCGGUUGUGCAAGUCAGAUGUGAAAUCCCCGGGCUCAACCUGGGAACUGCAUUUGUGACUGCACGGCUGGAGUGCGGCAGAGGGGGAUGGAAUUCCGCGUGUAGCAGUGAAAUGCGUAGAUAUGCGGAGGAACACCGAUGGCGAAGGCAAUCCCCUGGGCCUGCACUGACGCUCAUGCACGAAAGCGUGGGGAGCAAACAGG
RNAcentral lists this ribosomal RNA (253 nucleotides) under uncultured bacterium. RNAcentral describes it as "partial 16S ribosomal RNA". It matches the Rfam family "Bacterial small subunit ribosomal RNA", at positions 524 to 776 of the family's 1533-position model. The record is from RNAcentral.